GGUCAGAGGCGAAAGGCAGCAGGAGCAUGGGUUGGUGGGUG
Molecule: non-coding RNA, 41 nt
Filed under: Isochrysis galbana
Lineage: Eukaryota; Haptophyta; Isochrysidales; Isochrysidaceae
Source: RNAcentral